UACGUAGGGCGCAAGCGUUGUCCGGAAUUAUUGGGCGUAAAGAGCUUGUAGGCGGUUUGUCGCGUCUGCUGUGAAAUUUCGGGGCUCAACCCCGAACUUGCAGUGGGUACGGGCAGACUAGAGUGUGGUAGGGGAGACUGGAAUUUCUGGUGUAGCGGUGAAAUGCGCAGAUAUCAGGAGGAACACCGAUGGCGAAGGCAGGUCUCUGGGCCACUACUGACGCUGAGAAGCGAAAGCAUGGGGAGCGAACAGG
Molecule: ribosomal RNA, 253 nt
Filed under: uncultured bacterium
Lineage: Bacteria
Description: partial 16S ribosomal RNA
Rfam family: Bacterial small subunit ribosomal RNA
Source: RNAcentral